This 29-nucleotide non-coding RNA is filed under the name Callithrix jacchus (white-tufted-ear marmoset). RNAcentral also lists the same sequence under 3 other names. The record is from RNAcentral. Lineage: Eukaryota; Metazoa; Chordata; Mammalia; Primates; Cebidae.
GUAAUGGUUAGCACUCUGGACUCUGAAUC